This 688-nucleotide small RNA is filed under the name Nymphaea leibergii. Its description in RNAcentral is "eukaryotic LSU rRNA". The stretch from base 293 to 448 matches the Rfam family "5.8S ribosomal RNA". Lineage: Eukaryota; Viridiplantae; Streptophyta; Magnoliopsida; Nymphaeales; Nymphaeaceae. The record is from RNAcentral.
GGAAGGAUCAUUGUCGUUUCCUUAGAGGACAGACCCGUGAACACGUUAUCAUUGAUUUCUUCAAGUCGAGUGGACCAUCGUGCCCCAUGGGGCAUGGUGAUUCGUUCUGCUUAUUGGACUGUUCCCGUCUUUUGCCAUCCCCUUCAUUGUGGUCGAUGGCUUGAGCGGCGUACAACCAAAACAACAAAACCGGCGCUGUUAAGCGUCAAGGAUCAUUUUAUGAAUAAAGGGGGGACUUCCUACCACAAAAUGAGUGGAAGGAAAAGACCCUUUUUUGCCUAAUAUCAAAAACGACUCUCGGCAACGGAUAUCUUGGCUCCCGUCACGAUGAAGAACGUAGCGAAAUGCGAUAGUUGGUGUGAAUUGCAGAAUCCCGUGAAUCAUCGAGUUUUUGAACGCAAGUUGCGCCCGAGGCCAUUCGGCCAAGGGCACGUCUGCCUGGGCGUCACGCCUAGCGUCGCCCUCCCCUUUCCUGAGUUUUCGAACAUAGGCAAAGGGAGAGCGGAGGACUGGCUUUCGGCGUUGCUUUUGUCGGCGUUGUUGGCUGAAAAAUUUGGCUUGCGAUCUUUUGUCAUGUACAACAAGCGGUGGAUUUCCAGUGAUUUGUUGUGCCUUGCGUGAUCGAAAGUCAAUGGGACUCGAGGCAAGCAUCUUACUUUCUUGCCUUAGCUUUGCGACCCCAGGUCAG